RNAcentral lists this long non-coding RNA (260 nucleotides) under Gossypium barbadense (sea-island cotton). RNAcentral's name for it is "long non-coding RNA (GBAR_LNC021584)". The record is from RNAcentral. Lineage: Eukaryota; Viridiplantae; Streptophyta; Magnoliopsida; Malvales; Malvaceae.
UUUGAUUUAAUAAUAAAAUAUUAAAGUCCUUAUUUUAAUUAUUGAUUAAAAUAAUUAAGGUUUAUAAUUAUUGAAGGAAUUGCUAUUUACUGAUUUCACAUUAUUGACCACUUUGAAAACAAAUUUAUAUAUAAUUUUCCUUAGAAAUAGUAAAAAAGGGUUCAAUAAAUAUGAAUUUGGAGACCCAAGUUUAAUUAGAUUUUCUUCACAUGGUAGGUUCAAAUGUGAAAAGAUUUUCUAAGCAACAUUAUUUUUUUUUU